Molecule: ribosomal RNA, 450 nt
Filed under: uncultured bacterium
Lineage: Bacteria
Description: bacterial SSU rRNA
Rfam family: Bacterial small subunit ribosomal RNA
Source: RNAcentral
GUGGGGAAUAUUGGACAAUGGGCGAAAGCCUGAUCCAGCCAUGUCGCGUGUGUGAAGAAGGUCUUCGGAUUGUAAAGCACUUUAAGUUGGGAGGAAGGGCAGUAAGUUAAUACCUUGCUGUUUUGACGUUACCGACAGAAUAAGCACCGGCUAACUUCGUGCCAGCAGCCGCGGUAAUACGAAGGGUGCAAGCGUUAAUCGGAAUUACUGGGCGUAAAGCGCGCGUAGGUGGUUUUGUAAGUUGGAGGUGAAAUCCCCGGGCUCAACCUGGGAACUGCCUCCAAAACUGCAUGACUAGAGUACGGUAGAGGGUAGUGGAAUUUCCGGUGUAGCGGUGAAAUGCGUAGAUAUAGGAAGGAACACCAGUGGCGAAGGCGACUACCUGGACUGAUACUGACACUGAGGUGCGAAAGCGUGGGGAGCAAACAGGAUUAGAUACCCCUGUAGUCC